This is a small nuclear RNA of Rhincodon typus (whale shark), 105 nucleotides long. The record is from RefSeq and is a predicted model, not a curated record. Lineage: Eukaryota; Metazoa; Chordata; Chondrichthyes; Orectolobiformes; Rhincodontidae.
GUUUGCUUCAGCAGUACGUAUGCUAAAAUUGGGACAAUACAGAAAAUAUUAGCAUUGUCACUGUACAAAGAUGCUGCACAAAUUUGUGAAGCAUUUCAUAUUAAG